This 497-nucleotide ribosomal RNA is filed under the name uncultured bacterium. Its description in RNAcentral is "partial 16S ribosomal RNA". It matches the Rfam family "Bacterial small subunit ribosomal RNA", at positions 28 to 507 of the family's 1533-position model. The record is from RNAcentral.
GAUGAACGCUGGCGGCGUGCCUAAUACAUGCCAGUCGAGCGAACGGACGAGAAGCUUGCUUCUCUGAUGUUAGCGGCGGACGGGUGAGUAACACGUGGAUAACCUACCUAUAAGACUGGGAUAACUUCGGGAAACCGGAGCUAAUACCGGAUAAUAUUUUGAACCGCAUGGUUCAAAAGUGAAAGACGGUCUUGCUGUCACUUAUAGAUGGAUCCGCGCUGCAUUAGCUAGUUGGUAAGGUAACGGCUUACCAAGGCAACGAUGCAUAGCCGACCUGAGAGGGUGAUCGGCCACACUGGAACUGAGACACGGUCCAGACUCCUACGGGAGGCAGCAGUAGGGAAUCUUCCGCAAUGGGCGAAAGCCUGACGGAGCAACGCCGCGUGAGUGAUAAAGGUCUUCGGAUCGUAAAACUCUGUUAUUAGGGAAGAACAUAUGCGUAAGUAACUGUGCACAUCUUGACGGUACCUAAUCAGAAAGCCACGGCUAACUACGUG